This 498-nucleotide unclassified non-coding RNA is filed under the name uncultured Glomus. RNAcentral's name for it is "SSU rRNA". It matches the Rfam family "Eukaryotic small subunit ribosomal RNA", at positions 591 to 1092 of the family's 1831-position model. The record is from RNAcentral. Lineage: Eukaryota; Fungi; Glomeromycota; Glomeromycetes; Glomerales; Glomeraceae.
CCAAUAGCGUAUAUUAAAGUUGUUGCAGUUAAAAAGCUCGUAGUUGAAUUUCGGGAUCAGUACGCUGGUCGUGCCUUCGGUAUGUACUGGUGUUACUGGUUCCUACCUUCUGACGAACCGUCAUGUCAUUAAUUUGGUGUGGCGGGAAAUCAGGACUGUUACUUUGAAAAAAUUAGAGUGUUUAAAGCAGGCUCGCGCUUGAAUACAUUAGCAUUAAAUAAUGAAAUAGGACGUUCGAUCCUAUUUUGUUGGUUUCUAGGAUUGACGUAAUGAUUAAUAGGGAUAGUUGGUGGCAUUAGUAUUCAAUUGUCAGAGGUGAAAUUCUUGGAUUUAUUGAAGACUAACUACUGCGAAAGCAUUUGCCAAGGAUGUUUUCAUUAAUCAAGAACGAAAGUUAGGGGAUCGAAGACGAUCAGAUACCGUCGUAGUCUUAACCAUAAACUAUGCCGACUAGGGAUCGGAUGAUGUUAUUUUUAAUGACUCAUUCGGCGCCUUACG